Molecule: ribosomal RNA, 305 nt
Filed under: uncultured bacterium
Lineage: Bacteria
Description: bacterial SSU rRNA
Rfam family: Bacterial small subunit ribosomal RNA
Source: RNAcentral
ACCUACGGAGGCAGCAGUGAGGAAUAUUGGUCAAUGGUCGGGAGACUGAACCAGCCAAGCCGCGUGAGGGAGGAAGGUACAGAGUAUCGUAAACCUCUUUUGUCAGGGAACAAAGGCGGGGACGUGUCCCCGGAUGAGUGUACCUGAAGAAAAAGCAUCGGCUAACUCCGUGCCAGCAGCCGCGGUAAUACGGAGGAUGCGAGCGUUAUCCGGAUUUAUUGGGUUUAAAGGGUGCGCAGGCGGUCUGUUAAGUCAGCGGUCAAAGCCCGGGGCUCAACCCCGGCCCGCCGUUGAAACUGGCAGUC